CCCUUAGAUGUCCUGGGCCGCACGCGCGUUACACUGAUGCAUUCAACGAGCUUAUAACCUUGGCCGAGUGGCCUGGGCAAUCUUGUUAACGUGCAUCGUGAUAGGGAUAGAUUAUUGAAAUUAUUAAUCUUGAACGAGGAAUUCCUAGUAAACGCAGAUCAUCAAUCUGCAUUGAUUACGUCCCUGCCCUUUGUACACACCGCCCGUCGCACCUACCGAUUGGAUGGUCCGGUGAAGCCUCGGGAUUGUGGUUCUUGCCGCUUUAUUGUGGCGUGACCGCGAGAACUUGUCUAAACCUUAUCAUCUAGAGGAAGGUGAAGUCGUAACA
RNAcentral lists this ribosomal RNA (328 nucleotides) under uncultured eukaryote. RNAcentral describes it as "partial 18S ribosomal RNA". It matches the Rfam family "Eukaryotic small subunit ribosomal RNA", at positions 1470 to 1796 of the family's 1831-position model. The record is from RNAcentral.